ACCAACACGCUUUGGCAGAGAGGGCUAAAAAACCCUGCAAAACUGCAAAUCUCAGGAUCUGAAAGGAUGGAGCCAUAGCGCUUGAAGUGGGUGUCAAACUGUAUUAUUUCUGCACCCAAACUCUCUAGACAAAAAGAAACCUCCUUUUUAAAAGUCCAGCCACAACUGGAGAUCUUGCAAUUCCUACCUUUGCUGCUGAAAAGCGACCCUAUCUGCAAGGAUGCUAGUUCCUCUUGUGGCAUGACCAUGUUCAAGUCGCAAAUGUAAACCUGUUUUUGAAGAAUGGUCUAAAAACAACGUAUAAAUGCUUAGUUUAAGUCUGUCCGGUUUGACUCCGUUGUGGCUUGUGUCCCCUGCACAGCGCAACCCUUCACCUUGAAGAGGAGGCCAAGAAAGUGCCUGAAGCCAAAAAAUACAAUGAAACGAGGGAUAAGUAACAACAAAACAGAACCAGAAAUUCUACUUUGGAGGCGGUGGGGGAACCAGACAGAAUUUGGAUGUAUCCAGACUGCAGAGGACCAUCGUCUUGGCAGCUGCUAAGAACGGGCAUAAAAACCGAUUUGAUGCGAGGGGGGAAAAAAAGCAACGCUGAAUGUGGCUUGGCUCGCUUCCUCCGAAUUCCUCCCUCCUGAGAGAAGAUGGGAUCCGGUUCUCUCCAUCAUGGAGCUGCACACUUGGGCUGCUUGCGACGGGAAUACAAAACGAUCUGAAAGGUGGUUCUUUUUUUUUUGCAAUAAAGAAUUGGGUCA
Long non-coding RNA from Sceloporus undulatus (fence lizard), 749 nucleotides. RefSeq lists it as uncharacterized. The transcript is spliced from 3 exons. NCBI's taxonomy places the organism in Eukaryota, Metazoa, Chordata, Lepidosauria, Squamata, Phrynosomatidae. The record is from RefSeq and is a predicted model, not a curated record.